AUUGAACGCUGGCGGCAGGCCUAACACAUGCAAGUCGAGCGGAUGAAGGGAGCUUGCUCCUGGAUUCAGCGGCGGACGGGUGAGUAAUGCCUAGGAAUCUGCCUGGUAGUGGGGGAUAACGUCCGGAAACGGGCGCUAAUACCGCAUACGUCCUGAGGGAGAAAGUGGGGGAUCUUCGGACCUCACGCUAUCAGAUGAGCCUAGGUCGGAUUAGCUAGUUGGUGGGGUAAAGGCCUACCAAGGCGACGAUCCGUAACUGGUCUGAGAGGAUGAUCAGUCACACUGGAACUGGAACACGGUCCAGACUCCUACGGGAGGCAGCAGUGGGGAAUAUUGAACAAUGGGCGAAAGCCUGAUCCAGCCAUGCCGCGUGUGUGAAGAAGGUCUUCGGAUUGUAAAGCACUUUAAGUUGGGAGGAAGGGCAGUAAGUUAAUACCUUGCUGUUUUGACGUUACCAACAGAAUAAGCACCGGCUAACUUCGUG
This 484-nucleotide ribosomal RNA is filed under the name uncultured bacterium. RNAcentral's name for it is "partial 16S ribosomal RNA". It matches the Rfam family "Bacterial small subunit ribosomal RNA", at positions 30 to 507 of the family's 1533-position model. The record is from RNAcentral.